UGUUUAUUAUGUAUAAUUAUUAAUAUUUAUUAGGUUCUAAGGGCUCUGAAUUUGGGUUUGGAGGUGGAGAUGUCAAUGGGUCGGAUACGGGUCGGAUUUUUAAAAACCCGAACCCGAACCCGAACCCGACUCCAAACCCGAGACCCGAACCCGAACCCGAACCCGACGGAUUUUUAAAAUCCAUAUCCAAACCCAAACCCGACCAAAAAUCCGAAACCCGAACCCGAACCCGAAAAUUUGAACCCGAAACAAUUAUUUCUUUUUUCAAUAUUUUAAAAAAUAUUACAUUAAAUCUAAAAUUUUAAAAUAUAAAUUCAAAUAUAACAUCAAAUUUUUAUAUAUAUAUUAUAUAUAAUACAAAAUAAAUUCAGGUUUAGGUCAGGUUCGGGUCGGGUACAAUCAAAAUUUAUAUCUGAAUCCAUAUCCGUCGGAUUUCUAUAUUUUAUAUCCAUAUCCAAAUCCAUAUCGAUAUCCAUCGGAUAUAUCUGUUUCAUUCGGGUUCGGAUUCGAAUAAAAUUUCGGAUAUCCAUACUCAUUGACAUCCCUAUUUG
RNAcentral lists this long non-coding RNA (551 nucleotides) under Ananas comosus (pineapple). RNAcentral describes it as "long non-coding RNA (ACOM_LNC024869)". The record is from RNAcentral. Lineage: Eukaryota; Viridiplantae; Streptophyta; Magnoliopsida; Poales; Bromeliaceae.